AGCUGUGGAGCAGUGGUGCAGGAAAGCCCUAAAACUCAGGUGUGGCCUGUCUUAUUUCACUGGUGAUAAGCAGUUUCUCCACAAGCCGAUGUCCAAGGAUCUUUCCCUUUAUACUUAGAGCAGUCAGAAGUGGCCACUGAGCACUAUGGUACAUUCUGCAUCAAUGACUUCUCUGUUCUUCAAGGUGCUCUGAUUGAGAGGCACAUGGUUAUAAGAAUAUCCUGGCUACACAUACAGUUACAUCCUGCUGGAGUUCAUGUGAUUCAGCCAAGCUUUGUACCUCACUGAUCUCUGGAGACUGUAGAGAAGAUGUGCCCAGCCAGCCCUGACCUGAGAAGAUGAGCUCUGCUGAACAGUACUAAGGGGUGAGAUGGGACCAGAAGGACCUCAGACCACGUGUGCUUUCAGCACAGUGAGGCCAGGGGUCUUGUUGACUAUUACUGUACUAAGAUAAUAUGGUACUUUUAAACAAGCUGCCUCUCCAGAUUACCCUUACAUCACAAAAGAACUGUAUAAUACCUUGGAAUUAGAGUAGACAAGAUUUCAUUAUUUUUCAAUUUCAGGGCUGUUGUAAUGCAGACAGUCCACUUAAUACAUACAGCUUUUCAUUCUUUCUUAUUUAUUUAUUUGUUUUCCGUGCUUAAAUUUAGUAACAUUGUAAGAGAAUGUCACACUUCUGCUGAUGCAGAGGUCCUAAUUCCUUCAUUUUGUCCUGGCUAAGCUACUGCAGAGAUUCGUUUCUCACUAAUAACUGCGUGUGCAAUUAACAGCUGAUGCAAAAAUCCCCUGCCUGAUCUCUGCUGGCAUUGAAUAGCUACAGCUAAUAACUACAGAUUUGGCCCUGCUACAAGUCUUGUUGUUAAUAUGAACUCAUAUUAGUUUCAAGGUGUUCUUGUUACAUUAGGAAGACCUUUCAUUUAAUUAACGGAUAUCUGACACUUCUUGAACCACACUUUUCUGUACAUCUCCAUUUUUCCCAAGUCACAAAGUCUUGGCAUUGGCUUCUAAGAUAAAUGACAACUGACAACUGGUAACUUGCCCGCUAGGCAACGUUUUCUGCAAAUGUUAAUACCUGGGUGUUCACAAACCCUUAGUCUCUUCAGUGACAGUCCCUGCAGGAAAUUUUACUGUGUGAAACAAAUAUAGGACAGCUGCAUAUAUGUUCCUGAUUUGCUAAUAUAGCACAUUAGCAAGAAAACAUUGCCAAAAGAAGUCAAGACCACUUCAAUCCAAGACAGUGGUUUAAUUUCCAUAAUUUUCAUUACAGAUUACAGCCUUUGAAAGCACUUAAUGUUGUGAGGAUGUAACAAAAAUGGCAGCUGAUGUGAUUUAGUUUCUCUUAAAAGGGCCUCAUUUCUAUUUCCUUCUCAGGCUACUUAGUUCGUCCUAUCAUUAUUGAAUAUUGGCAGAAAACAGGGCUGUAAGGGAAAUCUCAUGAGAAUUUAUAAUUUUUCUCAGCAUAGCUUUCUGCCAGUUUUACAAGUGAAAUUUUACAGGUGCAGAUGCAAGCACACUGGAGAAAACAGGAAAGUGGAGGUGAGUGAGCAAAAAGCAAAUAGCUAAUUGAAAAUUUUUGGAGAUGAUUGUAUCCAUCAUUAGUUUUCCCAUGUUUUGUUUCUAUUUUCUCUAAGAUAAGGAAAAAUUCAACAUAUUAAAAACUUUUUCAUCUUCUAAUCUAAUCUAGUGGAUUUGUACAACAAAGUGAGCUACUAGUUGUCUCUAAUAAGUAAAGUAGCACAAAAUACUACUCCAUUGGAGAGCUUAUAAUGCAAGAAAAUAGGAACAUUCAGUUCCUGCGGGGAAAUGCGAUGCUGGGAGAAAAUUGUCAGUAGUUGUAUGUAUAUAUGUAUGCAAUGUUAAUCAUUUUUGUUAUAUUUGUAAGUGUAUAUACUUGCGUUGUACAAUCUAAGCAUGAUGUAAUGACAUGGGAUAAGGGAUGGAUACUGUUCUGGUUUUGUCAGUAUUUCAUAUCACAACAUGAUGCAGCGAGCUGUUUGGUGCUGGAGCACAGUGCUGGGGAGAAGAAUCUCCAUGGGUACUGUGCUUCUAGCAGUCCCAGCUAUUCUCAUGUGAAUUCCAACUCUCUGAGAGGAAGAUACACUGAAGAGACAGGCUCCCAGAAGUAUCCAGUACUCCUCAUGUGAUUUCCAGUUCUGGGUGAAUUGGGGGGAGAGCUCUCUGCCUGUCUAGGAGGCCAGCCAUGAGAGCCUGCCAGUAAGAUCUCAGACUCUCUCUCCUCUCCUCUUUUGUUUUUUUGUUCAUUUCAAUUAUUAUUCUUAAUUAUUCUGUAUUA
This is a long non-coding RNA of Coturnix japonica (Japanese quail), 2293 nucleotides long. RefSeq lists it as uncharacterized. The record is from RefSeq and is a predicted model, not a curated record. NCBI's taxonomy places the organism in Eukaryota, Metazoa, Chordata, Aves, Galliformes, Phasianidae.